Molecule: long non-coding RNA, 206 nt
Filed under: Elaeis guineensis (African oil palm)
Lineage: Eukaryota; Viridiplantae; Streptophyta; Magnoliopsida; Arecales; Arecaceae
Description: long non-coding RNA (EGUI_LNC072621)
Source: RNAcentral
AUGGUCCAGGAUGUUUGUAGAGUUUAAGCAAGGCUGUGCUUUUGAUCUGAAGUGGGUUUUGACUCUAUAAAGGAAUCCUGAUGGCCUUUGGAGAGCAGAGCAUGCAGUAGAGGGUCUUAGGGAGAUCGAGGGCAUCUCAGAGAGAUCGAAGAGCCUGUCUCAGGGGGACGAGCAGCUUGGCGUGAGCAAUUGUGGUAGGACAUCAA